This 378-nucleotide ribosomal RNA is filed under the name uncultured bacterium. Its description in RNAcentral is "bacterial SSU rRNA". It matches the Rfam family "Bacterial small subunit ribosomal RNA", at positions 790 to 1167 of the family's 1533-position model. The record is from RNAcentral.
GUAGUCCACGCCGUAAACGAUGAGAACUAGCCGUUGGACCCCUUGAGGGUUUAGUGGCGUAGCUAACGCGAUAAGUUCUCCGCCUGGGGAGUACGGCCGCAAGGCUAAAACUCAAAUGAAUUGACGGGGGCCCGCACAAGCGGUGGAGCAUGUUGUUUAAUUCGAUGCAACGCGAAGAACCUUACCACCCCUUGACAUCCUCGGAACUUGGCAGAGAUGCCUUGGUGCCUUCGGGAACCGAGUGACAGGUGCUGCAUGGCUGUCGUCAGCUCGUGUCGUGAGAUGUUGGGUUAAGUCCCGUAACGAGCGCAACCCUUGUCCUUAUUUGCCAGCGGGUAAUGCCGGGAACUCUAAGGAGACUGCCGGUGACAAACCGGA